GCCCACGUAGCUCAGUCGGUAGAGCACGGCAUUCGUAAUGCCGCGGUUGGGGGUUCGAAUCCCCCCGUGGGCU
Molecule: transfer RNA, 73 nt
Filed under: Candidatus Brocadiales bacterium
Lineage: Bacteria; Pseudomonadati; Planctomycetota; Candidatus Brocadiia; Candidatus Brocadiales
Also listed under: 1 other name
Description: tRNA-Thr
Rfam family: tRNA
About the family: Transfer RNA (tRNA) molecules are approximately 80 nucleotides in length. Their secondary structure includes four short double-helical elements and three loops (D, anti-codon, and T loops).
Source: RNAcentral